AGAGUUUGAUCAUGGCUCAGGAUGAACGCUGGCGGCGUGCCUAACACAUGCAAGUCGAGCGGAGAUUAAGAAGCUUGCUUCUUAAUCUUAGCGGCGGACGGGUGGGUAACGCGUGGGUAACCUGCCCUAUACACACGGAUAACAUAUCGAAAGAUAUGCUAAUACGAGAUAACACAUUUUUAAGGCAUCUUAGAAAUGUCAAAGAUUUUAUCGGUAUAGGAUGGACCCGCGUCCCAUUAGCUAGUUGGUGAGGUAAAAGCUUACCAAGGCGACGAUGGGUAGCCGACCUGAGAGGGUGAUCGGCCACACUGGAACUGAGACACGGUCCAGACUCCUACGGGAGGCAGCAGUGGGGAAUAUUGCACAAUGGGGGGAACCCUGAUGCAGCAACGCCGCGUGAGCGAUGAAGGCCUUCGGGUCGUAAAGCUCUGUCCUAAGGGAAGAUAAUGACGGUACCUUAGGAGGAAGCCCCGGCUAACUACGUGCCAGCAGCCGCGGUAAUACGUAGGGGGCAAGCGUUAUCCGGAAUAACUGGGCGUAAAGGGUGCGUAGGCGGCCCUGCAAGUCAGAAGUGAAAGGCUACGGCUCAACCGUAGUAAGCUUUUGAAACUGUAGGGCUUGAGUGCAGGAGAGGAGAGUAGAAUUCCUAGUGUAGCGGUGAAAUGCGUAGAUAUUAGGAGGAAUACCAGUUGCGAAGGCGGCUCUCUGGACUGUAACUGACGCUGAGGCACGAAAGCGUGGGGAGCGAACAGGAUUAGAUACCCUGGUAGUCCACGCCGUAAACGAUGAGUGCUAGGUGUCGGGGGUUACCCCCCUCGGUGCCGCAGCUAACGCAUUAAGCACUCCGCCUGGGGAGUACGCUCGCAAGAGUGAAACUCAAAUGAAUUGACGG
Molecule: ribosomal RNA, 892 nt
Filed under: uncultured bacterium
Lineage: Bacteria
Description: bacterial SSU rRNA
Rfam family: Bacterial small subunit ribosomal RNA
Source: RNAcentral